AUUCCCCCUAGUAACUGCGAGUGGAAAGAGGGAAGAGCUCAAAUUUGAAAUCUGGCAGUGUUUUGCUGUCCGAGUUGUAAUCUAGAGAAGUGCUGCCCGUGCUGGACCAUGUACAAGUCUCCUGGAAUGGAGCGUCACAGAGGGUGAGAAUCCCGUCUUUGACAUGGACUGCCAGUGCAUUUGUGGUGUGCUCUCAAAGAGUCGAGUUGUUUGGGAAUGCAGCUCUAAAUGGGUGGUAAACUCCAUCUAAAGCUAAAUAUUGGCGAGAGACCGAUAGCGAACAAGUACCGUGAGGGAAAGAUGAAAAGAACUUUGGAAAGAGAGUUAAACAGUAUGUGAAAUUGUUGAAAGGGAAACGCUUAAAGUCAGUCGUGUCGGCCAGGGAUCAACUCAGUAUUAUCUGCUGGGUGUACUUCCUGAUCUGAUGGGCCAACAUCAAUUUUGACUGCUGGAAAAGGAUAAAGGGAAUGUGGCACCUUUGGGUGUGUUAUAACUCUCUGUCGG
This 504-nucleotide ribosomal RNA is filed under the name Amanita subglobosa. Its description in RNAcentral is "partial large subunit ribosomal RNA". It matches the Rfam family "Eukaryotic large subunit ribosomal RNA", at positions 73 to 570 of the family's 3401-position model. Lineage: Eukaryota; Fungi; Basidiomycota; Agaricomycetes; Agaricales; Amanitaceae. The record is from RNAcentral.